RNAcentral lists this ribosomal RNA (568 nucleotides) under Salmonella enterica subsp. enterica. RNAcentral describes it as "partial 23S ribosomal RNA". It matches the Rfam family "Bacterial large subunit ribosomal RNA", at positions 1 to 599 of the family's 2925-position model. Lineage: Bacteria; Pseudomonadati; Pseudomonadota; Gammaproteobacteria; Enterobacterales; Enterobacteriaceae. RNAcentral also lists the same sequence under 2 other names. The record is from RNAcentral.
GGGUUGUGAGGUUAAGCGACUAAGCGUACACGGUGGAUGCCCUGGCAGUCAGAGGCGAUGAAGGGCGUGCUAAUCUGCGAUAAGCGCCGGUAAGGUGAUAUGAACCGUUAUAACCGGCGAUACCCGAAUGGGGAAACCCAGUGUGAUUCGUCACACUAUCAUUAACUGAAUCCAUAGGUUAAUGAGGCGAACCGGGGGAACUGAAACAUCUAAGUACCCCGAGGAAAAGAAAUCAACCGAGAUUCCCCCAGUAGCGGCGAGCGAACGGGGAGGAGCCCAGAGCCUGAAUCAGCAUGUGUGUUAGUGGAAGCGUCUGGAAAGGCGCGCGAUACAGGGUGACAGCCCCGUACACAAAAGCGCAUGUGCUGUGAGCUCGAUGAGUAGGGCGGGACACGUGGUAUCCUGUCUGAAUAUGGGGGGACCAUCCUCCAAGGCUAAAUACUCCUGACUGACCGAUAGUGAACCAGUACCGUGAGGGAAAGGCGAAAAGAACCCCGGCGAGGGGAGUGAAAAAGAACCUGAAACCGUGUACGUACAAGCAGUGGGAGCACCCUUCGGGGUGUGACUG